Molecule: ribosomal RNA, 795 nt
Filed under: uncultured bacterium
Lineage: Bacteria
Description: bacterial SSU rRNA
Rfam family: Bacterial small subunit ribosomal RNA
Source: RNAcentral
AGAGUUUGAUCAUGGCUCAGAUUGAACGCUGGCGGCAUGCUUUACACAUGCAAGUCGAACGGUAACGCGGGGGCAACCCUGGCGACGAGUGGCGAACGGGUGAGUAAUACAUCGGAACGUGUCCUGAGGUGGGGGAUAACCUAUCGAAAGGUAGGCUAAUACCGCAUACGCUCGGGAGAGGAAAGCGGGGGAUCGGUAACGACCUCGCGUCGCAGGAGCGGCCGAUGUCCGAUUAGCUAGUUGGUGGGGUAAAGGCUUACCAAGGCGACGAUCGGUAGCUGGUCUGAGAGGAUGAUCAGCCACACUGGGACUGAGACACGGCCCAGACUCCUACGGGAGGCAGCAGUGGGGAAUUUUGGACAAUGGGGGCAACCCUGAUCCAGCCAUGCCGCGUGAGUGAAGAAGGCCUUCGGGUUGUAAAGCUCUUUCGGUGGGAACGAAACGGUUACCACUAACACUGGUGACUACUGACGGUACUCACAGAAGAAGCACCGGCUAACUACGUGCCAGCAGCCGCGGUAAUACGUAGGGUGCGAGCGUUAAUCGGAAUUACUGGGCGUAAAGCGUGCGCAGGCGGUGGCUCAAGCCAGGCGUGAAAUCCCCGGGCUUAACCUGGGAAUGGCGUUUGGGACUGGGUCGCUAGAGUGUGGCAGAGGGAGGUGGAAUUCCACGUGUAGCAGUGAAAUGCGUAGAGAUGUGGAGGAACACCGAUGGCGAAGGCAGCCUCCUGGGCCAGCACUGACGCUCAUGCACGAAAGCGUGGGGAGCAAACAGGAUUAGAUACCCUAGUAGUCC